UACAGAGGGUGCAAGCGUUGUUCGGAAUUAUUGGGCGUAAAGGGCGCGAAGGCGGUGCCACAAGUCACCUGUGAAAUCUCCGGGCUUAACUCGGAGCCUGCAGGCGAAACUGUGGUGCUGGAGUAUGGUAGAGGGUGGUGGAAUUUCCUGUGUAGCGGUGAAAUGCGUAGAUAUAGGAAGGAACACCAGUGGCGAAG
RNAcentral lists this ribosomal RNA (197 nucleotides) under uncultured prokaryote. RNAcentral describes it as "partial 16S ribosomal RNA". It matches the Rfam family "Bacterial small subunit ribosomal RNA", at positions 524 to 720 of the family's 1533-position model. The record is from RNAcentral.